Molecule: ribosomal RNA, 433 nt
Filed under: uncultured bacterium
Lineage: Bacteria
Description: partial 16S ribosomal RNA
Rfam family: Bacterial small subunit ribosomal RNA
Source: RNAcentral
AACGAACGCUGGCGGCAUGCCUAACACAUGCAAGUCGAACGAGACCUUCGGGUCUAGUGGCGCACGGGUGCGUAACGCGUGGGAACCUGCCCUUAGGUUCGGAAUAACUCCCCGAAAGGGGUGCUAAUACCGGAUAAUGUCUUCGGACCAAAGAUUUAUCGCCUUUGGAUGGGCCCGCGUUGGAUUAGCUAGUUGGUAGGGUAAAAGCCUACCAAGGCGACAAUCCAUAGCUGGUCUGAGAGGAUGAUCAGCCACACUGGGACUGAGACACGGCCCAGACUCCUACGGGAGGCAGCAGUGGGGAAUAUUGGACAAUGGGCGAAAGCCUGAUACAGCAAUGCCGCGUGAGUGAUGAAGGCCUUAGGGUUGUAAAGCUCUUUUACCCGGGAUGAUAAUGACAGUACCGGGAGAAUAAGCUCCGGCUAACUCCGUG